GGGGAAGUGUGAUGCCUUGUUAGGGAUCGUUAUUUUCUCGGAUCACACUGGGGGUGUGGAGGUCGCAGGUUCGAAUCCUGCCGUCCCGACCA
Molecule: transfer RNA, 92 nt
Filed under: Alphaproteobacteria bacterium
Lineage: Bacteria; Pseudomonadati; Pseudomonadota; Alphaproteobacteria
Description: tRNA-Ser
Source: RNAcentral